This is a long non-coding RNA of Panicum virgatum (switchgrass), 1613 nucleotides long. RefSeq lists it as uncharacterized. The record is from RefSeq and is a predicted model, not a curated record. NCBI's taxonomy places the organism in Eukaryota, Viridiplantae, Streptophyta, Magnoliopsida, Poales, Poaceae. The transcript is spliced from 3 exons.
GACAGCCUGUCAUAGUUUGCCUAGUAAAUGAUUUCCUUUCGGUGUGUUGACAUCAAAUCUCCAGGGAUGUCACUCACUCCCCCCUUCCGGGCAGGAUUUCAUGCAUCUUCGUCCAUGAAUGGCUCCGGUGACGAGUCGCAAUCCGAUUCCUAGAUGGUGCUAGCUUGAUCUGCACUUGUUGCUCAGGCAUGCCUGCCUGUUUCCCCAUCCUAUGCAUAGUGAUAGUGCGUCUGCACUGGGAGUGGGAGUUGGUUUGAGCCCUGGGCUGCAAGUUGGAUGAUCUUGAGAGCCUGCACGUAGGCUUCUGCUGAUGGAAGCCACCACUUCGCCUGCUCUGGGUCUCAUGAUCGGUAGUGAGCGACUACACACGCCAAAGGCGAACUGGAGAAGCCAUGCAGUGGGAGCUGUCCGCUUCAUGGGAAGAAAGGAAAAGGUGACCCUUCAUGUUAUGUCCCUGUAGCUACAUUCUUGUAAAGUGGGCUACAGUGCCCUGGAAUCUGAUAUCUGAAUCCCCGGCCGCUGUCAGCUGCAGCACCUGUGGAUUAGCUUGCAAGUGUCUGAGUCACUUCAGCAUUCAGAAAAGCAAGCCAGUUUUGUUAUCAAGGUGGCAUGCUGGAUUGCUGCAGAUCAGUCUCCCUGUGUGGUGUGCCUUUGUCUUUGCUGCUCUGCCAAGCCAGAUGGUUGUAGAACUCCUGGACUUCAGCAUGGAUUGUAGUCAGAGGAGCUUAAGCAGAUAAGCACAGGUUUUAUAGUGCAAUUCCUAUGCCAUGAACUGUAACUGGUAACAGCAGCUUGCACGUGUGCAGGAGAUACCAGGUUGCCCCCUGAAGCUUCAAGUUCAGGCAUUACCUAGAUCUGGGGCGACCGCUGAUGAAUAGCGGAUGGACACCGUUGUGAUGGCCCAUGAAUCCAUGAUCUUGUAGCAUGGAGUAUUCGGUAUGGUGGACACCGUUUGGUGAGAUGGGUUUGGAAAGGAAAGGCACAUGGAUAUGGUUGGGCAGGAUCGAGGAGUGAAGGUUGAGGCUGUUGAUCUUUGCUUCUUUGUAUUCAGACAGAGCCACAAAGUGUCGUCGUUAGGUGCUGGUUUGAAGAUGAAGCAGGGCAGGGAAUAAGGUUCUUUUGCCCCCUCCCCUUUUCACUUUGGGCAUGACUGAAAACUGAAAAAAGGUUCAAGCACAUCAGCGAAUCAACUGAAGAAUGGAUCAUCAAUCAUUCCAGGAAUAUAAUGCGAGAUCUCGCUCGCUAAUGCUCGCGUCCACGACCUACUACCUAGCAGAGGUAGUACUACUAGCUGGCCUGGUAUGCAUGGGCACACAAGAAAAAAGAAAGGAAGCGAGACGCCCGAGCUCCCGGGCAACUGCCAUGGAGGCAACGGCAGCGGCGUCGACGCAUGCAGCGAGCGAGCGCCGGUUGCUCGCCGCCGUGAUGAUUGCAUGUCGAGAAUCCGAGCCCUUUUCUUCCCCCCCCGGUGCGCCAUGCACGAGUUGGGCCGUUAACGCGCAUGAUCGCCCGUGUAGGCCACACCGACGCAUGAUGCCAUCCUGAUGCCAAAACUUUGUCAUAACUCGGAAAGAUUACGCUAAUUAAUACUAAAAUCGCUUGGGUUUGUUUAA